Molecule: ribosomal RNA, 432 nt
Filed under: uncultured bacterium
Lineage: Bacteria
Description: partial 16S ribosomal RNA
Rfam family: Bacterial small subunit ribosomal RNA
Source: RNAcentral
AACGAACGCUGGCGGCAUGCUUAACACAUGCAAGUCGAACGGGACCUCCGGGUCUAGUGGCGCACGGGUGCGUAACGCCGGGGAACCUACCCUUAGGUUCGGAAUAACUCCCCGAAAGGGGUGCUCAUACCGGAUGAUGUCUUAGUACCAAAGAUCUCUGGCCUUGGGAUGGGCCCGCGUUGGUUUCGCUAGUUGGUAGGGUAAACGCAUACCAAGGCGGCGAUCCAUAGCUGGUCUGAGAGGAGGAUCAGCCACACUGGGACUGGGACACGGCCCAGACUGCUACGGGAGGCAGCAGUGGUGAAUAAUGGACAAGGGGCGAAAGCCGGAGCCAGCAGUGCCGCGAGAGUGAUGAAGGCGUUAGGAUUGUAAAGCGCUUUUACCCGGGAUGAUAAUGACAGUACCGGGAGAAUAGGCCCGGCCUACCUCGUU